RNAcentral lists this long non-coding RNA (346 nucleotides) under Brassica napus (rape). RNAcentral's name for it is "long non-coding RNA (BNAP_LNC026977)". Lineage: Eukaryota; Viridiplantae; Streptophyta; Magnoliopsida; Brassicales; Brassicaceae. The record is from RNAcentral.
GUAAGAAUGCAUGGAGAUGAAAUAAAAGGGUAAGGUGUAGGUGUGGUACCAAACUAUUGAUGAGUCUGGCCAUUCAGGAUUAUUAAAGAGUGGUAAAAUGUGGUAAAGAAAAUCCUGAAUGUGUAUAUGGUGUACCGUUUCCUGAUGUUGAUUCCUGGUCAAAAGAAAUUAAAUUCAUUAAUGGUCAAAAAUAGUUGAGUCGAUUACAAUUCACCGAGACUUGAUAAAAGAUUUAAGGAGAGGUUGCUUGGUCAAGUGGUUCCUCGGUUUGUCUGCGCUAACAGUCCUGAAAAAUGGUCAAUAUGAAAUGUAAUACACAACACACAAGGAAAUAGUCUAAUAAUCA